RNAcentral lists this transfer RNA (86 nucleotides) under Planctomycetia bacterium. RNAcentral's name for it is "tRNA-Leu". It matches the Rfam family "tRNA". From Rfam's summary of the family: Transfer RNA (tRNA) molecules are approximately 80 nucleotides in length. Their secondary structure includes four short double-helical elements and three loops (D, anti-codon, and T loops). Lineage: Bacteria; Pseudomonadati; Planctomycetota; Planctomycetia. The record is from RNAcentral.
GCCGAAGUGGCGGAAUUGGCAGACGCGCCAGAUUCAGGUUCUGGUCGCUUUAAACGGCGGUGCAGGUUCAAGUCCUGUCUUCGGCA